This 301-nucleotide ribosomal RNA is filed under the name uncultured bacterium. RNAcentral describes it as "partial 16S ribosomal RNA". It matches the Rfam family "Bacterial small subunit ribosomal RNA", at positions 509 to 807 of the family's 1533-position model. The record is from RNAcentral.
CAGUAGCCGCGGUAACACGUAGGGUGCGAGCGUUAAUCGGAAUUACUGGGCGUAAAGCGUGCGCAGGCGGUAAUGUAAGACAGAUGUGAAAUCCCCGGGCUCAACCUGGGAACUGCAUUUGUGACUGCAUUGCUGGAGUGCGGCAGAGGGGGAUGGAAUUCCGCGUGUAGCAGUGAAAUGCGUAGAUAUGCGGAGGAACACCGAUGGCGAAGGCAAUCCCCUGGGCCUGCACUGACGCUCAUGCACGAAAGCGUGGGGAGCAAACGGGAUUAGAUACCCCGGUAGUCCCUGUCUCUUAUAC